AGACAUACUUGAAGCGCUGCUU
This 22-nucleotide non-coding RNA is filed under the name Arabidopsis thaliana (thale cress). The record is from RNAcentral. Lineage: Eukaryota; Viridiplantae; Streptophyta; Magnoliopsida; Brassicales; Brassicaceae.